RNAcentral lists this ribosomal RNA (554 nucleotides) under uncultured Glomeromycotina. RNAcentral describes it as "SSU rRNA". It matches the Rfam family "Eukaryotic small subunit ribosomal RNA", at positions 548 to 1098 of the family's 1831-position model. The record is from RNAcentral. Lineage: Eukaryota; Fungi; Glomeromycota.
UUGGAGGGCAAGUCUGGUGCCAGCAGCCGCGGUAAUUCCAGCUCCAAUAGCGUAUAUUAAAGUUGUUGCAGUUAAAAAGCUCGUAGUUGAAUUUCGGGAUUGACACAUCGGUCGUGCCUUAAGGGGUAUGAACUGGUGUAGUCAGUUUCUCACCUUCUGGAGAACCGCGAUGUCCUUAAUUGGGUGCCGCGAGGAACCAGGACCUUUACUUUGAAAAAAUUAGAGUGUUUAAAGCAGGCAUUUUGCUUGAAUACAUUAGCAUGGAAUAAUAAAAUAGGACGGAUGGUUCUAUUUUGUUGGUUUCUAGGAUCACCGUAAUGAUUAAUAGGGAUAGUUGGGGGCAUUAGUAUUCAAUUGUCAGAGGUGAAAUUCUUGGAUUUAUUGAAGACUAACUACUGCGAAAGCAUUUGCCAAGGAUGUUUUCAUUAAUCAAGAACGAAAGUUAGGGGAUCGAAGACGAUCAGAUACCGUCGUAGUCUUAACCAUAAACUAUGCCGACUAGGAAUCAGACGAUGUUAAUUUUUUAAUGACUCGUUCGGCGCCUUACGGGAAAC